UGAGGAACAUGACUUUCGGCGGGGGAUAGCCGGCCCAACGGCCGGGUAAUACCGCGUACGACCUUUUGGGGACAUCCCCGAUUGGUGAAAGCAGCAAUGCGCCGAAAGAGUGCCUCGCGGCCUAUCAGCUAGUUGGUGGGGUAAUGGCUCACCAAGGCGACGACGGGUAGCUGGUCUGAGAGGAUGGCCAGCCACAUUGGGACUGAGACACGGCCCAGACCUCCGUACGGGGAGG
This 235-nucleotide ribosomal RNA is filed under the name uncultured bacterium. RNAcentral's name for it is "partial 16S ribosomal RNA". It matches the Rfam family "Bacterial small subunit ribosomal RNA", at positions 118 to 347 of the family's 1533-position model. The record is from RNAcentral.